AUUGAACGCUGGCGGCAGGCCUAACACAUGCAAGUCGAGCGGAUGAAGGGAGCUUGCUCCUGGAUUCAGCGGCGGACGGGUGAGUAAUGCCUAGGAAUCUGCCUGGUAGUGGGGGAUAACGUCCGGAAACGGGCGCUAAUACCGCAUACGUCCUGAGGGAGAAAGUGGGGGAUCUUCGGACCUCACGCUAUCAGAUGAGCCUAGGUCGGAUUAGCUAGUUGGUGGGGUAAAGGCCUACCAAGGCGACGAUCCGUAACUGGUCUGAGAGGAUGAUCAGUCACACUGGAACUGAGACACGGUCCAGACUCCUACGGGAGGCAGCAGUGGGGAAUAUUGGACAAUGGGCGAAAGCCUGAUCCAGCCAUGCCGCGUGUGUGAAGAAGGUCUUCGGAUUGUAAAGCACUUUAAGUUGGGAGGAAGGGCAGUAAGUUAAUACCUUGCUGUUUUGACGUUACCAACAGACUAAGCACCGGCUAACUUCGUA
This 484-nucleotide ribosomal RNA is filed under the name uncultured bacterium. RNAcentral describes it as "partial 16S ribosomal RNA". It matches the Rfam family "Bacterial small subunit ribosomal RNA", at positions 30 to 507 of the family's 1533-position model. The record is from RNAcentral.